AUUUACUGAGGCCAGCCGGGCACACAGCAAGUGCUCGAGAACCACCGAGAGUUGUGGGAAGUGAGGCAUCGCCACUAUUUUUAUUGCAACUCUCACUGUUUCGGGGCAGCCUCCCAGGCACCGGGCCGAGCACAGAACCAGUGCCCCACCUGUGUUUGUUGCAUGACUGCCUGACUCCAGCCAAGACAAGAGCCAGUGGGACUGGAUGGUGGUGACUGUAGGCCGCAGCAGGCCACAGGCCACUGGGGUGCUCACCGUUUCUUCGGCACCCGAAGGCCAAGAGCGUUCGCGGCUUACUUCAUCAAAAUCUCACAGUGCCGCCUAAGCAGGACCGCUGUCCUUCUAAGAAGAGAGCUGCAGCAAGGGGAAUACCAUUGUUGACAGAGGCAGAGACGGGAGUGACGCUGCUGAAGACCAAGAGGUGCCAAGGAUCGAUGCCUACCGCGAGAAGCUAGGAAUGACAGCUGCCCCUAUCUCACAGAGUUGAGGAUGGAAAGGAAGAGCAGUUACUCUUGCCUCCCUUACGCAUGGUGUACCGUCUUCCAGGAGGCCUCUCUGCCCGCUGCCCCCACCCCGGUCACUGGAUUGUGUCUCCCAGGUUCCCGUGGAUGAUGCUGGAUCUCAUCUACUCCCACAUCUGGGGGGGCUGGCACAGAAGGCUCUUGAACAAAUGGAUGUCUGACAG
Canis lupus familiaris (dog) is the source of this 685-nucleotide long non-coding RNA. RefSeq lists it as uncharacterized. The record is from RefSeq and is a predicted model, not a curated record. The transcript is spliced from 5 exons. Lineage: Eukaryota; Metazoa; Chordata; Mammalia; Carnivora; Canidae.